RNAcentral lists this ribosomal RNA (497 nucleotides) under uncultured bacterium. Its description in RNAcentral is "partial 16S ribosomal RNA". It matches the Rfam family "Bacterial small subunit ribosomal RNA", at positions 28 to 507 of the family's 1533-position model. The record is from RNAcentral.
GAUGAACGCUGGCGGCGUGCCUAAUACAUGCAAGUCGAGCGAACAGACGAGGAGCUUGCCUCCCUCACGUAAGCGUCGGACGGGUGAGUAACACGUGGAUAACCCACCUAUAAGACUGGGAUAACUUCGUGAAAACGGUGCCAAUACCGGCUUAUCUAUUGAACAGCAUGGUUCAAGAGUGUAAGGCGGUUUUGCAUUCACUUUUCGCAGGAUCCGCGCCGGAUUAGCUAGUUGGUAAGGUAACAGCUUACCAAGGCAACGAUGCGUAGCCGAUCUGAGAGGGUGAUCGGCCACACUGGAACUGAGACACGGUCCAGACUCCUACGGGAGGCAGCAGUAGGGAAUCUUCCGCAAUGGGCGAAAGCCUGACGGAGCAAUGCCGCGUGAAUGAUGAAGGUCUUCGGAUCGUAAAACUCUGUUAUCAGGGAAGAAGAAAUGUGAGAGUAACCAUGCACGUAUUGACGGUACCUAAUGAGAAAGCCACGGCUAACUACGUG